Molecule: ribosomal RNA, 567 nt
Filed under: uncultured bacterium
Lineage: Bacteria
Description: bacterial SSU rRNA
Rfam family: Bacterial small subunit ribosomal RNA
Source: RNAcentral
CCUACGGGAGGCAGCAGUGGGGAAUAUUGGGCAAUGGAGGAAACUCUGACCCAGCGACGCCGCGUGCGGGAUGAAGGCCUUCGGGUUGUAAACCGCUUUCAGUAGGGAAGAAGCGAAAGUGACGGUACCUACAAAAGAAGCACCGGCUAACUAUGUGCCAGCAGCCGCGGUAAUACAUAGGGUGCAAGCGUUGUCCGGAAUUAUUGGGCGUAAAGAGCUCGUAGGUCGUUUGUUACGUCGGAUGUGAAAACCUGAGGCUCAACCUCAGGCCUGCAUUCGAUACGGGCAAACUAGAGUUUGGUAGGGGAGACUGAAAUUCCUGGUGUAGCGGUGGAAUGCGCAGAUAUCAGGAGGAACACCAAUGGCGAAGGCAGGUCUCUGGGCCAAUACUGACACUGAGGAGCGAAAGUCUGGGGAGCGAACAGGAUUAGAUACCCUGGUAGUCCAGACCGUAAACGGUGGGCACUAGUUGUGGGAACCUUCCACGGUUUCUGCGACGCAGCUAACGCAUUAAGUGCCCCGCCUGGGGAGUACGAUCGCAAGAUUAAAACUCAAAGGAAUUGACGG